GCCUACGGGAGGCAGCAGUGGGGAAUAUUGGACAAUGGGCGCAAGCCUGAUCCAGCCAUGCCGCGUGAGUGAAGAAGGCCUUCGGUUGUAAGCACUUUCGAUAGGGACGAUAAUGACGGUACCUGGAUAAGAAGCCCGGCUAACUUCGUGCCAGCAGCCGCGGUC
This 165-nucleotide ribosomal RNA is filed under the name uncultured Methylosinus sp. Its description in RNAcentral is "partial 16S ribosomal RNA". It matches the Rfam family "Bacterial small subunit ribosomal RNA", at positions 337 to 522 of the family's 1533-position model. The record is from RNAcentral. Lineage: Bacteria; Pseudomonadati; Pseudomonadota; Alphaproteobacteria; Hyphomicrobiales; Methylocystaceae.